UAUUGCACAAUGGGGGGAACCCUGAUGCAGCGACGCCGCGUGAGUGAAGAAGUAAUUCGUUAUGUAAAGCUCUAUCAGCAGGGAAGAAUAAAUGACGGUACCUGAGUAAGAAGCCCCGGCUAACUACGUGCCAGCAGCCGCGGUAAUACGUAGGGGGCAAGCGUUAUCCGGAUUUACUGGGUGUAAAGGGAGCGUAGACGGUUGUGCAAGUCUGAAGUGAAAGCCCGCGGCUCAACUGCGGAACGGCUUUGGAAACUGUGUAACUGGAGUGCUGGAGAGGUAAGCGGAAUUCCUGGUGUAGCGGUGAAAUGCGUAGAGAUCAGGAGGAACACCGGCGGCGAAGGCGGCUUACUGGACAGUAACUGACGUUGAGGCUCGAAAGCGUGGGGAGCAAACAGG
Molecule: ribosomal RNA, 399 nt
Filed under: uncultured bacterium
Lineage: Bacteria
Description: bacterial SSU rRNA
Rfam family: Bacterial small subunit ribosomal RNA
Source: RNAcentral